Aphis gossypii (cotton aphid) is the source of this 802-nucleotide long non-coding RNA. RefSeq lists it as uncharacterized. NCBI's taxonomy places the organism in Eukaryota, Metazoa, Arthropoda, Insecta, Hemiptera, Aphididae. The transcript is spliced from 4 exons. The record is from RefSeq and is a predicted model, not a curated record.
UGAACGAGGAAUAGAUUUUAUUCGAGUUAGAAAUCACUGAUGAAAUGGCUUUCGACUCCGAUAUAGGAGGCGACUCUGAUGCAGAAGACACAGUGCAUCAUGUUCAUCAAGUACAUCAAAUUUAUCCUUAGAAGGCAUAGAAUAUCUUCAACCAAAUUUAGAUACAGAAACAAUAUCAAUUAAUUCAAAUACAGUUACAGGUCAAAAAAGAUCAUUAAGAUCUCAAUAAAGAUCACUACAAUUUGAAAAUACAAGACUUGAUUCUAAAAGUGCUUCUACAUCUCCAUUUUCAGAUUUAAUUCAAUCACCACUCAUACAUUCACCAACAAAUGUACAACUAAUUAUACAGAUUGGGAUGAUUUUGAUGUUACUGACAAUAUAGCUACUGACGAAACGUUUUUACCAGUAAGGUUGUCAUCGCAGGUCAAUGAUUAUGAAUCUACUGACAACGAAAUUGAAGAUGAAGAGCUUAACUUUAAUUUUUGUAAAACUGGUAAAGAACCUGAAAAGUUUAAUAGUUCUUCAAGAAACACAAGGUUUCUAACACAAGGUCCUAUUGAUCCAUUUUUAUUCAAAAAAUCAGUCCUUGAUAUUUGGGAAUCUAUAUUUUCUCCCGUAAUAGACAUUAUAGUUGAAGAAUCUAAUUUGUUUGACUCUCAAAAACAUGCAGUUUUAGACACCACUCCUGAAGAAAUUCGUGUAUUUAUUGGAAUACUUAUAUUUUUGGGCUUUCAUAAUGUACCUAAUAUUCGAUUGUAUUGGUCUACAAAUCAUAAUUUUUUCUGUCCUAGAAUAGCAAAUG